This 1084-nucleotide ribosomal RNA is filed under the name Firmicutes bacterium 00YFJ. RNAcentral describes it as "bacterial SSU rRNA". It matches the Rfam family "Bacterial small subunit ribosomal RNA", at positions 71 to 1125 of the family's 1533-position model. Lineage: Bacteria; Bacillati; Bacillota. The record is from RNAcentral.
GAUGGGAGCUUGCUCCCUGAGAUUAGCGGCGGACGGGUGAGUAACACGUGGGCAACCUGCCUAUAAGACUGGGAUAACUUCGGGAAACCGGAGCUAAUACCGGAUACGUUCUUUUCUCGCAUGAGAGAAGAUGGAAAGACGGUUUACGCUGUCACUUAUAGAUGGGCCCGCGGCGCAUUAGCUAGUUGGUGAGGUAAUGGCUCACCAAGGCGACGAUGCGUAGCCGACCUGAGAGGGUGAUCGGCCACACUGGGACUGAGACACGGCCCAGACUCCUACGGGAGGCAGCAGUAGGGAAUCUUCCGCAAUGGACGAAAGUCUGACGGAGCAACGCCGCGUGAACGAAGAAGGCCUUCGGGUCGUAAAGUUCUGUUGUUAGGGAAGAACAAGUACCAGAGUAACUGCUGGUACCUUGACGGUACCUAACCAGAAAGCCACGGCUAACUACGUGCCAGCAGCCGCGGUAAUACGUAGGUGGCAAGCGUUGUCCGGAAUUAUUGGGCGUAAAGCGCGCGCAGGUGGUUCCUUAAGUCUGAUGUGAAAGCCCACGGCUCAACCGUGGAGGGUCAUUGGAAACUGGGGAACUUGAGUGCAGAAGAGGAAAGUGGAAUUCCAAGUGUAGCGGUGAAAUGCGUAGAGAUUUGGAGGAACACCAGUGGCGAAGGCGACUUUCUGGUCUGUAACUGACACUGAGGCGCGAAAGCGUGGGGAGCAAACAGGAUUAGAUACCCUGGUAGUCCACGCCGUAAACGAUGAGUGCUAAGUGUUAGAGGGUUUCCGCCCUUUAGUGCUGCAGCUAACGCAUUAUGCACUCCGCCUGGGGAGUACGGCCGCCACGCUGAAACUCAAAGGAAUUGACGGGGGCCCGCACAAGCAGUGGAGCAUGUGGGUUUAAUUCGAAGCAACGCGCAGAAACAUACCCAAGGUCUUGACAUCCUCUGACAACCCUAAAAAAUAGGCCUGUUCCUCUUCCGGGGGACAGAAUGACAGGUGGUGCAUGAUUGUCCUCAGCCUCCUGCCCUGAGAUUGUUCGGUUUAAGUUCCUGCAAUCCAAGCGACAACCCAUUGAAUCCUAAGUGCCUAG